AUUGAACGCUGGCGGCAGGCCUAACACAUGCAAGUCGAACGAGUGGCGGACGGGUGAGUAAUGUCUGGGAAACUGCCUGAUGGAGGGGGAUAACUACUGGAAACGGUAGCUAAUACCGCAUACCAUCGGAUGUGCCCAGAUGGGAUUAGCUAGUAGGUGGGGUAAAGGCUCACCUAGGCGACGAUCCCUAGCUGGUCUGAGAGGAUGACCAGCCAGUCGGGAACUGAUACACGGUCCAGACUCCAGCGGGAGGCAGCAGUGGGGAAUAUUGAAAAAUGGGGGCAAGCCUGAGGCAGCCAUGCCGGGUGUAGGAAGAAGGCCUUGGGGUUGUAAAUUACUUUCAGCGGGGAGGCGUUACCCGAAGAAGAAGCACCGGCUAACGCCGGGCCAGCAGCCGAGGUAAUAC
This 406-nucleotide ribosomal RNA is filed under the name uncultured bacterium. RNAcentral describes it as "partial 16S ribosomal RNA". It matches the Rfam family "Bacterial small subunit ribosomal RNA", at positions 29 to 526 of the family's 1533-position model. The record is from RNAcentral.